CGUAGGGUGCGAGCGUUAAUCGGAAUUACUGGGCGUAAAGCGUGCGCAGGCGGUUUUGUAAGACAGGCGUGAAAUCCCCGGGCUCAACCUGGGAACUGCGCUUGUGACUGCAAGGCUAGAGUACGGCAGAGGGGGGUGGAAUUCCACGUGUAGCAGUGAAAUGCGUAGAGAUGUGGAGGAACACCAAUGGCGAAGGCAGCCCCCCUGGGUCGAUACUGACGCUCAUGCACGAAAGCGUGGGUAGCAAACAGGAUUAGAUACCCUGGUAGUCCACGCCCUAAACGAUGUCAACUAGGUGUUGGGUGGGUAAAACCAUUUAGUACCGGAGCUAACGCGUGAAGUUGACCGCCUGGGGAGUACGGCCGCAAGGUUAA
This 374-nucleotide ribosomal RNA is filed under the name uncultured organism. Its description in RNAcentral is "bacterial SSU rRNA". It matches the Rfam family "Bacterial small subunit ribosomal RNA", at positions 526 to 897 of the family's 1533-position model. The record is from RNAcentral.